ACAAAGGCUCUUUUCAGAGCCCCCCACACCGGCUACAGAGGGCUG
Molecule: non-coding RNA, 45 nt
Organism: Xenopus tropicalis (tropical clawed frog)
Lineage: Eukaryota; Metazoa; Chordata; Amphibia; Anura; Pipidae
Source: Rfam